UACGGAGGGGGCUAGCGUUGUUCGGAAUUACUGGGCGUAAAGCGCACGUAGGCGGCUUUGCAAGUUAGAGGUGAAAGCCCGGGGCUCAACUCCGGAAUUGCCUUUAAAACUGCAUCGCUAGAAUUGUGGAGAGGUAAGUGGAAUUCCGAGUGUAGAGGUGAAAUUCGUAGAUAUUCGGAAGAACACCAGUGGCGAAGGCGGUUCUCUGGGCCUUACCUGACGCUGAGGAGCGAAAGCGUGGGGAGCGAACAGG
This 253-nucleotide ribosomal RNA is filed under the name uncultured bacterium. RNAcentral describes it as "partial 16S ribosomal RNA". It matches the Rfam family "Bacterial small subunit ribosomal RNA", at positions 524 to 776 of the family's 1533-position model. The record is from RNAcentral.